AUGUAGUGGAGUAAAAGUGAAAGUUGACAUAAAUUUAAAUAGCGAAGUAAAGUACAGAUACGUGAAAUUUGUACUUAAGUACAGUAACAAAGUAUUUUUACUCCGUUACAUUACAACACUGUUUUUGCUCAAUAAAAAUUGGGUGAUCUGCCACUAAAGGUGACAUUUAUUAUGUUAAUAAAGGUGUUAAUUUAUUUUAUGUUAUUAGUUAAAGCCAUAGAAAGGCAAGAGGGAACAUAUAAUUUUGUUUCAUUGGGGAAUUAUUUGAUUGUUGCUAUCGAGAACACUUCUGCAUUUAGUGCCCCCCGAAAUGUUGCUAUCGAGAACACUUCCGGGUACUACAUGCAGAAAAGACGCACGAGGUACGCGCUAGUGAUGUCUGUACAAGUUGCACUUGAAAGAAGUUAAUAUUGCUGUUUUUUGUUUGAAGAAGAAGAAACAGUUAAAACUCAAGUUUAUUCCUCUUGAGUUAGAGAGGCCAAUGAGUUGGGGCAGUGGUGGCUCAACUGGUUAAGGCUCUGGGUUGUUCAUCAGAGGUUCAGACAUCAGAGAUAUUUUCUAAUACUGCUUCCUACAAUGUAACAUCAAGACAGCCAUACAUAUAAUACACCACUGGAAACCUCAACUCAACGCUC
This is a long non-coding RNA of Tachysurus fulvidraco (yellow catfish), 635 nucleotides long. RefSeq lists it as uncharacterized. The record is from RefSeq and is a predicted model, not a curated record. The transcript is spliced from 2 exons. Lineage: Eukaryota; Metazoa; Chordata; Actinopteri; Siluriformes; Bagridae.